GAUCAGCUCGUAUUGCAGCUAAUUGUUCCAGAAUAUCUUGUAUGACUCUGGGGUCCAUGGUGGAUGAAGGAGUCUGGGAGUCAGUGAGGAGGUACUCUCUACCACUACGGGUGGGCAUACAGGAACUACUCUAGUUGGUAAUAUGAUAUGCAAUACUACUAAUGAACCCUAAUUGUCCAAAGGUAAUGCAGGACAACCUACUGAUGCAACCCACUAAUGCAACCUACUAUGAAUUCGGAAAUCAGCAAAUUUUUACAAAAAUAACUUAAAAUUAAAUAUUACUAAUUUGCACUUUGGUUAUUUCAGAAUUAAGGCAAGAAAUUAGUCACUAUAAGAAAUUAGGUUGCAAACACGUAUUACAGUCAUUCAAAGUCCGAAAGUAAUCUGAUCUAUGGAUGUUGAGAACUAUCCUGUCGCUAAGGUGUGCUAAUUUAAUAUUUAGAUUUUAAAUGGUGGAUAGAAUGGGUGUGGUAGUAGAUGUUCUGGGUUGUGCAGUUUGACAAUAAAAUAAGUUUCAAGAUAGGGUUGUCAUGCAAGAGAACUAGAACAUAUUUAGAUAAACAAGCCCAAAGGAGGAAGAACCUAUUACCUGUGGUGGAUACAGCCAAUCAGAAUCAUGUACUCGUGGGCUGGGGCGACGGUCGGGGCGCGGUGAGUCGGCUCGUCGGAUGGCGUGAAUCUGGUCGAGUUACAGCAACUGGGGAACCUGCUGAACCUGUCAACUUUGGGGUAUACUGUAUGGUGUGGCUAGCGGGCCUGUAAAUGAGGGAUGCUUGUGAGUUGACCCUUGAAUCAGUGGCGGGCCCUGCAGUCAGUUGGGCCGCAGGUGCAACAGUGGAUCGGGCGCAGGAAUGGGGCGCGAUGGAGCUCGAGUGAAAGAUAACACACCACCCGAGUGGAGGAGAUGGGCAGCGGCAAACGGCAAGCGGAGAUGGGCGUAGCGGCGGGGCAGUCGGACCGUGAGAAGGAGAGGACGGCGGAAGGAGGGCGGCGGGCAGCCUGUGGAGUCGGCCGGUGGUGAGGAAAAUGGGGGCGGAAGGAGGCCGUCGGCGUCAGCUCGGGCCCCGGCGGGAUGGUGGCGUCGGCUCGGGCCCCGGCGGGAUGGUGGUGUCGGUUCGGGCACCGGCGGCUCGGGCGGUGGACGACGGAGGAGAAGAGGAUGGAACGGAUCUCGGCGGCGGCAGGAGGUGGCACGGGCGGAGGCGGCAAAGGCGGAGCGACUGGUGGUGGCGCUGCAGGCUGAGCUCGGCGACGGCGGCGAAGAGGUGGCACGACGGCGGCGAGGGGAAAGGCGGAGCGGCUGGUGGUGGCGCUGCAGGUGGAGCUCGGCGACGGCGGCGAAGAAGACGGUGAAACCCUAGGGUUUCCCUUUCGGCAGAACAGAGGUUUUAGUUUUUUUUUUUUUGGUUUAACCCUUUCGGGUUCGGAUUAUCGGAUUCGGGUUUUUAGAACGCAACCCGCUCCGAUACCCGUUAACGACCGCACGUGCAAUUCACGUGCACGUUUUUUUUUUUUUUUUCUUCCGGAACGGGUCCGGGCUAGUGGGGCGGGCUAACGGGUCUGAUACUUACCCGUUAGUCUGUUCCCAACCUCCCGACCGUUUCGGGAGGGUUUCCCGACUCUCGCUGCGGCGGCCGCGGAAAGGAGGGAUGGGCGGCGGCUGCGGAUCGGCCGUAGGGGACGGCGACGGAGCUCGAAGCCGCGGCUCUGUGGUCGGCGGCGACAGGUGGCGGCCGAUCACGGCGGCGGGCAGCUUCUUCCCGGAUCGGGUGGAGGGCGUCCGAGGCUGUCACAGGGCGGUGGUGGGCGGCGGCGACGACCGAGGGAUCAAGUCAGAUGGACGCGAGGGGAAUCCGGCGCAGGGACUGUGGCUGUGGCUCUUUCUUCUUUUUUUUCUUUUUUUUGCUCUGGUGAAAACACAGACCGAGAGAGAGGGGAUCGGAUGUGGGUGGCUGUCGAUCUGGGCCUUCACAGACUCGGCAGUGAUCUUCUUUUUUUUUUUUUGAACAGACUGACAGAGGAAGGGGGGGGGGCUGGUGAAAACCGAGAGAGAAAGGAAGAGAGGAAGAUAGAGAGAGAAGGAGGGGAAACACUGGACCGUGGCUUUGGCAGCAGGGGCAAAACCAGCCUUGCUCUGAUACCAA
Molecule: long non-coding RNA, 2144 nt
Filed under: Phoenix dactylifera (date palm)
Lineage: Eukaryota; Viridiplantae; Streptophyta; Magnoliopsida; Arecales; Arecaceae
Description: long non-coding RNA (PDAC_LNC013369)
Source: RNAcentral